This 433-nucleotide ribosomal RNA is filed under the name uncultured bacterium. RNAcentral describes it as "partial 16S ribosomal RNA". It matches the Rfam family "Bacterial small subunit ribosomal RNA", at positions 29 to 507 of the family's 1533-position model. The record is from RNAcentral.
AACGAACGCUGGCGGCAUGCCUAACACAUGCAAGUCGAACGAGACCUUCGGGUCUAGUGGCGCACGGGUGCGUAACGCGUGGGAACCUGCCCUUAGGUUCGGAAUAACUCCCCGAAAGGGGUGCUAAUACCGGAUAAUGUCUUCGGACCAAAGAUUUAUCGCCUUUGGAUGGGCCCGCGUUGGAUUAGCUAGUUGGUAGGGUAAAAGCCUACCAAGGCGACGAUCCAUAGCUGGUCUGUGAGGAUGAUCAGCCACACUGGGACUGAGACACGGCCCAGACUCCUACGGGAGGCAGCAGUGGGGAAUAUUGGACAAUGGGCGAGAGCCUGAUCCAGCAAUGCCGCGUGAGUGAUGAAGGCCUUAGGGUUGUAAAGCGCUUUUACCCGGGAUGAUAAUGACAGUACCGGGAGAAUAAGCUCCGGCUAACUCCGUG